AGGGGCGGGGGGUGGUGGUGUCCCGAGGGACCUGCUGAAUCUGGCUGGACCCACUGCGCCGCAGCCUGGGGAUCCGGCCGAGGGAGCGAGAGGAAGGGGGCCUCGGAAGCGGCCCCCGGCUCCCUGCCCUGGAGGCACAGAGGGCGGGGGCUUACGCGAAUGGCUUUCUUGCUGGCCACUUGCAGAAUCAGUACUACACUUGCUUUUUUCCAGUCUUCUGGUAUCUCUCCAGUUCUUGAAUUUUCAAAAAUAAUUGGUUGAUGUGUUUUGCAGUCAGAGAUGGUUAAGAAGUCAAAGAUUUCUUUUUGAGUCAAAGCAUAAAAGUUCCAUGCUAUAGAAGCUUAAAAUUUUUAGUUUACGAAAAGCAAGACAUGCAAAUGCUGAACUGUUAAACUGAGAAGUAAGUAGGCCUUCUAAAUAAAUAAAUGUUUACACCACGCCCAGAGUGUAUCAUUCAUGCCAAGGGUGAAAGUGAGUAGGGAAACUUAAGACAGAAGUGUUGUCACUUUUACUUAGAGAGGGCCCUCUUAGAAGAGAAUUUUGAGGUUCCUUUUCCCCCCCCUUUUUUUUUAAGGGAGGAGGAAGAAAAUGGCAGCUAAUGGGGUGGGUAAGGGAAAGAAGAACUAAAUAGAAUAUGAAGUUAAGAUUCAGCGACUGGAGGAAGGAACCAAACAAAAUGUAGAGGGAAUAUCGGAGGUAAUCUAGUUUGUUUUGUGUUAUGUUCCUUUAGCUAAAUUACUGUUGCCCUGGAGGUGAUUGGGGGCCAUAAUGGAUGGGGUUUUGGGGAGAAAAGAAAGUGAUUCUGAAGAGCAGGUUAAAUCCUAAUUUGAGCAGCAGCAUGUGUAAUUGAUGAGAAGAGAGAUUGAUGUACCACUAUUCUUGGAGAAUUUAGAUAAUUUAAAUAGACCUAUUAUUUUUUAAAAGUACUAUUUUUACUUUAAAAAUUGAAAUGUCAUGUAUGAAAGAUGAAGUAUCUUUUGUACUAUUAAACAAUAUUUAGAUUUAUUUCAAAUUUUCUUUUU
Manis javanica (Malayan pangolin) is the source of this 1022-nucleotide non-coding RNA. The record is from RefSeq and is a predicted model, not a curated record. NCBI's taxonomy places the organism in Eukaryota, Metazoa, Chordata, Mammalia, Pholidota, Manidae.